RNAcentral lists this ribosomal RNA (479 nucleotides) under uncultured bacterium. RNAcentral describes it as "partial 16S ribosomal RNA". It matches the Rfam family "Bacterial small subunit ribosomal RNA", at positions 28 to 507 of the family's 1533-position model. The record is from RNAcentral.
GAUGAACGCUAGCGGGAGGCCUAACACAUGCAAGCCGAGGGGUAUGAUUCUUUCUGGGAUCGGAGACCGGCGCACGGGUGCGUAACGCGUAUGUAACUUACCCCCUUCACUGUGAUAGCCCUUCGAAAGGAGGUUUAAUACCGGAUAACACUAAUGUGGGCAUCCACUUUGGUUGAAAGAUUUAUCGGAAUGGGAUAGACAUGCGUCAGAUUAGCUAGUUGGAGAGGUAACGGCUCACCAAGGCGAUGAUCUGGAGGGGGCCGGAGAGGGUGCCCCCCCACACUGGUACUGGGACACGUACCACACAGCUACGGGAGGCAGCAGUAAGGAAGAUAGGAGAAGGGGUGAGAGCCUGAUCCAGGCAACCCGCGUGCAGGAACACGGCGCGAUGGGUUGUAAACUGCUUUUGGAUGGGAAUAAACCACCUUACGAGUAGGGUGGUGAAGGUACCAUACGAAUAAGCACCGGCUAACUCCGUG